AACCUGGUUGAUCCUGCCAGUAGUCAUAUGCUUGUCUCAAAGAUUAAGCCAUGCAUGUCUUAGUGUAAAUAACUCUUAUGAAACUGCGAAUGGCUCAUUAAAUCAGUUAUCGUUUAUUUGAUGGUCCCUUACUACAUGGAUAACCGUAGUAAUUCUAGAGCUAAUACAUGCACAAAGGCCCGACUCACGGAGGGCUGUAUUUAUUAGACUCAAAGCCGACCUUGUUUUGGUGAUUCAUAAUAACUUUUCGAACCUCAUGCCUUUAUGGUGGAGGUGAUUCAUUCAAAUUUCUGCCCUAUCAACUUUCGAUGGUAGGAUAGAGGCCU
Molecule: ribosomal RNA, 326 nt
Filed under: uncultured marine eukaryote
Lineage: Eukaryota
Description: SSU rRNA
Rfam family: Eukaryotic small subunit ribosomal RNA
Source: RNAcentral